AUUGAACGCUGGCGGCAUGCCUUACACAUGCAAGUCGAACGGUAACAGGUUAAGCUGACGCGUGGCGAACGGGUGAGUAAGGUAUCGGAACGGGCCCAGUCGUGGGGGAUAACUGCUCGAAAGAGCAGCUAAUACCGCAUACGACCUGAGGGUGAAAGCGGGGGAUCGCAAGACCUCGCGCGAUUGGAGCGGCCGAUAUAAGAUUAGGUAGUUGGUGAGGUAAAGGCUCACCAAGCCGACGAUCUGUAGCUGGUCUGAGAGGACGACCAGCCACACUGGGACUGAGACACAGCCCAGACUCCUACGGGAUGCAUCAGUGUUGCAUUUUGAACAAUGGCCACAAGCCUUAUCCACCCAUGCCUCGUGCGGGAAGAAGGCCUUCUGGUUGUAAACCGCUUUUGUCAGGGAAUAAACGGUUCUGGCUAAUACCUCGCACUCAUAACGGUACCUGAAAAAUAAGCACCGGCUAACUACGUG
RNAcentral lists this ribosomal RNA (477 nucleotides) under uncultured bacterium. RNAcentral's name for it is "partial 16S ribosomal RNA". It matches the Rfam family "Bacterial small subunit ribosomal RNA", at positions 30 to 507 of the family's 1533-position model. The record is from RNAcentral.